GAAACAUUAAAUAAACAAUGAUCAAUAAGAUUGCAUCCAUAUGAGUUGCUAUAUAACACGGUUUACAAUUCUUUUAAAUACGAGCAUGACAUGAAAGACAUUCAUGCAAGUUCCCAGCAGGCAACAGCCUUUUUAUCAUCGGGCCAGUGUGAACAUCAAAACCCACAGGAGGAUGUACUUGGCAUUUAACUUGGGUACAAGAAUCAGCCCUCGAAGCAAGAACUCGUACAAACACUGUAGAAUAUUUGAAUAUUUUCUGAAUGUAGAUACCAUACACUACAUACAACCUGAACCUGGUAACUAAUCGGAUAUGUACAGCGAGAUAAAAUUGGAUUACUAUGUCCCCCACGAC
This 352-nucleotide long non-coding RNA is filed under the name Coffea arabica (coffee). RNAcentral describes it as "long non-coding RNA (CARA_LNC005219)". Lineage: Eukaryota; Viridiplantae; Streptophyta; Magnoliopsida; Gentianales; Rubiaceae. The record is from RNAcentral.